This is a long non-coding RNA of Neltuma alba, 95 nucleotides long. RefSeq lists it as uncharacterized. The record is from RefSeq and is a predicted model, not a curated record. Lineage: Eukaryota; Viridiplantae; Streptophyta; Magnoliopsida; Fabales; Fabaceae. The transcript is spliced from 3 exons.
GAAAAGCACUAGAACACAGAGAGCUAAGAUGAUAAGUUUCAUGAUAGUUGUGGUUUUGAAAGUGUUCAGCUCCAAACUUUGUGCAAGAAAGUUGA